CACGUAGUUAGCCGUGACUUUCUAAGUAAUUACCGUCAAAUAAAGGCCAGUUACUACCUCUAUCUUUCUUCACUACCAACAGGGCUUUACGAGCCGAAACCCUUCUUCACUCACGCGGCGUUGCUCCAUCAGACUUUCGUCCAUUGUGGAAGAUUCCCUACUGCUGCCUCCCGUAGGAGUUUGGGCCGUGUCUCAGUCCCAAUGUGGCCGAUCAGUCUCUCAACUCGGCUAUGCAUCAUUGCCUUGGUAAGCCGUUACCUUACCAACUAGCUAAUGCACCGCAGGUCCAUCCAAGAGUGAUAGCAGAACCAUCUUUCAAACUCUAGACAUGCGUCUAGUGUUGUUAUCCGGUAUUAGCAUCUGUUUCCAGGUGUUAUCCCAGUCUCUUGGGCAGGUUACCCACGUGUUACUCACCCGUCCGCCGCUCGCUUGUAUCUAGUUUCAUUUAGUGCAAGCACUAAAAUCAUCUAGGCAAGCUCGCUCGACUUGCAUGU
Molecule: ribosomal RNA, 494 nt
Filed under: uncultured Lactobacillus sp.
Lineage: Bacteria; Bacillati; Bacillota; Bacilli; Lactobacillales; Lactobacillaceae
Description: partial 16S ribosomal RNA
Source: RNAcentral